CCUCCUUACUAUUACGUCGAUGACGCCCUUGAUGCAGUGCCUACACAGAUUGUUUUGUCUAGAAAAUAAAGAACGACACAAGUUUAUGGGGCUAUAGCUCAGCUGGGAGAGCGCCUGAUUUGCAUUCAGGAGGUCAGCAGUUCGAUCCUGCUUAGCUCCACCAUCUACUUGAUUCUGAGCUUGAAUAAGCGAAGUGACUGAAAGCUUUUAGUUCGGUUGGUUGGAGCCCUGCCCUCAAAUAAGAGCGGUAAGGUCACAACGCCGACCAGCUUGAAAAAUAAGCUUGUAGCUCAGCUGGUUAGAGCGCACCCCUGAUAAGGGUGAGGUCGGCAGUUCAAGUCUGCCCAAGCCUACCAAUUCUACUUGGGUUUGCUAUUUUCAAUCGCUGCCAUACUCAUGUGCUAGCGCACACUGCGUUUCUCGCGUUGAAACUACCUUCCCCAAACGAAUUGGAUGAAUGCUUAAGUAGAGUGUCAACUGAUAGUGAAAUCCUAAUGAAUAUUUACUUUUUAAGUAAGCAUUGAU
This 525-nucleotide transfer RNA is filed under the name uncultured Alteromonadaceae bacterium. RNAcentral's name for it is "partial 16S-23S ribosomal RNA intergenic spacer". The stretch from base 88 to 160 matches the Rfam family "tRNA". The record is from RNAcentral. Lineage: Bacteria; Pseudomonadati; Pseudomonadota; Gammaproteobacteria; Alteromonadales; Alteromonadaceae.